AACUGACUCCCCCUCCGGUUACCCUAGUAAUUUUUGUUGAUCAUUUAUAUGACCCUUUAGGACAAGGACAUCUGAGGUGAACAUCCAUAGUAUCAUACAAAUUUCUCAGCUGCCUCCUCCAAAACUGGCAUCAGCAGAAGAGCAAUUCUGCAUGAGCUCAUGAAUGGCUGCUGUGGAAAAUUACUGACAUCACCAGCUGAAUAACAGGCUAUCUGGAGAGUAAGCAGAUGAAACUGAUGUUAAAUUAUCAAAUGUACAAGAUUUUGGGCUCCUGCCAAAACCUUCAUUGAGAACUAAGAAGAGAAAAAGUGAAAACACAGAGCUUUUUUUAAGCUUCUGAGCCAGCAGGCUGUUCCUACAUCGACUCCAGGCACAGAAAGAUGGCUGUAAAAUAAAAGAGAUGAUAAUCUCCUCACUUCCUAAUA
This 425-nucleotide non-coding RNA is filed under the name Pongo abelii (Sumatran orangutan). Lineage: Eukaryota; Metazoa; Chordata; Mammalia; Primates; Hominidae. The record is from RNAcentral.